AGCAGCCGCGGUAAUUCCAGCUCCAAUAGCGUAUAUUAAAGUUGUUGCAGUUAAAAAGCUCGUAGUUGAAUUUCGGGGUCAGCAGGUUGGUCGUGCCACUGGUAUGUACUGGCUUUGCUGAUUCCUCCUUCUUGUAGAACCGUAAUGCCAUUAAUUUGGUGUUGCGGGGAAACAGGACUGUUACUUUGAAAAAAUUAGAGUGUUUAAAGCAGGCUAACGCUUGAAUACAUUAGCAUGGAAUAAUGAAAUAGGACGAGCGAUCCUAUUUUGUUGGUUUCUAGGAUUGACGUAAUGAUUAAUAGGGAUAGUUGGGGGCAUUAGUAUUCAAUUGUCAGAGGUGAAAUUCUUGGAUUUAUUGAAGACUAACUACUGCGAAAGCAUUUGCCAAGGAUGUUUUCAUUAAUCAAGAACGAAAGUUAGGGGAUCGAAGACGAUCAGAUACCGUCGUAG
This 450-nucleotide ribosomal RNA is filed under the name uncultured Glomeromycotina. Its description in RNAcentral is "SSU rRNA". It matches the Rfam family "Eukaryotic small subunit ribosomal RNA", at positions 569 to 1023 of the family's 1831-position model. The record is from RNAcentral. Lineage: Eukaryota; Fungi; Glomeromycota.